AGAGUUUGAUCCUGGCUCAGGAUGAACGCUAGCGGCAGGCUUAACACAUGCAAGUCGAGGGGUAACAUUGUGCUUGCACAGAUGACGACCGGCGCACGGGUGCGUAACGCGUAUAGAACCUACCUUUUACAGAGGGAUAGCCUUUAGAAAUGAAGAUUAAUACCUUAUAGUAUUGCGACUUGGCAUCGAGUUGUAAUUAAAGAUUUAUCGGUAAAAGAUGGCUAUGCGUCCUAUUAGUUAGAUGGUAAGGUAACGGCUUACCAUGACUAUGAUAGGUAGGGGUCCUGAGAGGGAGAUCCCCCACACUGGUACUGAGACACGGACCAGACUCCUACGGGAGGCAGCAGUGAGGAAUAUUGGGCAAUGGAGGCAACUCUGACCCAGCCAUGCCGCGUGCAGGAAGACUGCCCUAUGGGUUGUAAACUGCUUUUAUACAGGAAGAAACACUAGUACGCGUACUAGCUUGACGGUACUGUAAGAAUAAGGACCGGCUAACUCCGUGCCAGCAGCCGCGGUAAUACGGAGGGUCCGAGCGUUAUCCGGAAUCAUUGGGUUUAAAGGGUCCGCAGGCGGUCAAUUAAGUCAGAGGUGAAAUCCCAUAGCUCAACUAUGGAACUGCCUUUGAUACUGGUUGACUUGAGUCAUAUGGAAGUAGAUAGAAUGUGUAGUGUAGCGGUGAAAUGCAUAGAUAUUACACAGAAUACCGAUUGCGAAGGCAGUCUACUACGUAUGUACUGACGCUGAGGGACGAAAGCGUGGGGAGCGAACAGGAUUAGAUACCCUGGUAGUCCACGCCGUAAACGAUGGAUACUAGUUGUUGGGCAUUUGUUCAGUGACUAAGCGAAAGUGAUAAGUAUCCCACCUGGGGAGUACGGUCGCAAGACUGAAACUCAAAGGAAUUGACGGGGGCCCGCACAAGCGGUGGAGCAUGUGGUUUAAUUCGAUGAUACGCGAGGAACCUUACCAGGGCUUAAAUGUAGUAUGACAGGUUUAGAGAUAGACUUUUCUUCGGACAUAUUACAAGGUGCUGCAUGGUUGUCGUCAGCUCGUGCCGUGAGGUGUCAGGUUAAGUCCUAUAACGAGCGCAACCCCUGUCGUUAGUUGCCAGCAUGUUAUGAUGGGGACUCUAACGAGACUGCCUACGCAAGUAGAGAGGAAGGUGGGGAUGACGUCAAAUCAUCACGGCCCUUACGUCCUGGGCCACACACGUGCUACAAUGGUAUGGACAAUGAGCAGCCAUCUGGCAACAGAGAGCGAAUCUAUAAACCAUAUCACAGUUCGGAUCGGAGUCUGCAACUCGACUUCGUGAAGCUGGAAUCGCUAGUAAUCGGAUAUCAGCCAUGAUCCGGUGAAUACGUUCCCGGGCCUUGUACACACCGCCCGUCAAGCCAUGGAAGCUGGGAGUGCCUGAAGUCGGUCACCGCAAGGAGCCGCCUAGGGUAAAACUGGUAACUAGGGCUAAGUCGUAACAAGGUA
RNAcentral lists this ribosomal RNA (1476 nucleotides) under uncultured bacterium. RNAcentral's name for it is "bacterial SSU rRNA". It matches the Rfam family "Bacterial small subunit ribosomal RNA". The record is from RNAcentral.